UUUUUUUUUUUUUUUUGCCCAGCUAGUGUGUUCAGUCUACUAGAGGCGGCAUUAAAAAACCUGACUCAUUCUCCCAGACACUACCAAAUCCUCUGUCUUGGGAUUUUGUCUUGCUGUAGCUUGUGCACGUUGUCACAAUCACUGAAUUCAUAGUGCAUCUGCGCUGUUGUGACUUGAAAAGUGUUUCCUGAAGGUAUCCACCACCCUUAGCUCUUACAAUCCUUUGCCCUCUCUUUGGCAAAGAUUGAGCCUUGGGGUAAAGGGUGUGAUGUGAAUGUCCCAACUUUUUUUUUGCACGUUCAUUAGUUAGGGUCUCUCAAUUGACAUCUACUGCAAGGUUUCUGAUGCUCAUGUCUAUGGGCGCAGCAAUAAGACAUUAGGAAUAGUUUUAAUACUCAGUACUAUGUCCAUUAAACCAACUAAUAUGAAUCCUGUCCUAGAGCCUAUGUCCUCUUGAGCCAUAGGUUCUUUGGUCCUUUUAAUAGUAUCAGUUAUGGGUUCUUUCUCAUAGACAAGACCUUAAAGGUUUUAUGUUUUAAGACUUAAGUCUUAAACCGUCAGAAAAUGGUUGGUUGCUCCCAUAGCAUUCUGUCACUCUCGCUCUGUGGCCAUUUUCUUGUCAGGACAGUCAUGGUUGGAGUUUGUAAGCUUCCUAGCUGGGUGAGAUUGAGGCUUCCUUGUCUCCUUUAGCAGUGUGCAUAGAACCUUCCAGCACCAUGAACACUGGCCAGUAAUGAUGAAAAGAUUUCAGACGAAUACCAGCUUGAUGUCUCCCUGAUCUGUGAUUUAAGUGUGUGGUGCUUUAGCAGUAGGCUUUUAGCAUAAGUUCUGAAGUGUAGCCUGUAAUGCUUGGAGGAGCCCAUUGGCUAACAGCUCAAGAAAUGGUAACUUAUUCUUGGUGCCAGGCUUAUUUGUUAGAAUGGGGUAUCUGUUGGGAUAUCGUCCUCUCCUUGUAGGGUACUCAUUAUAUGUACAUCUGUUUUACGAAGCUUCUACAACAGUGGUUUCCAAAUGACUUUUUUUUAAAUGCCUUUUAUGGUAGUUAUUCCUCCCCAGAUUCCCUCCUCUCCUUGCCUCCCAUCUUCCAGCCCAAUUUAACCCAUCUUAUUCUGUUGGUCCCCUAUUGUAUUUUAUACUACUGUGCUCUGUUUCCCCACCCUUGAAGGCCACUCCUCCCCAGUGCCCUCUUAAUAAAUUCCUGACUUCUAGAGCAUUACAAAUAGGAUGCAUCUCUGAACAUUUAAAGGUGGCAUCAACAGUGAGAGAGCACGCACCAUGUUUAUUUUCCUGGAUUUGGUUACCUUAUUUGGGUUUCCAGCUCCACCAAUUUACUUGUGAAUUUCAUAAUUUUAUUUUUCGUAACAGCUGAGUAAUUUUCAUAGACAUAUAUUAGAUGUGAACUAUACAACAGUGGUCUGUAUAGACCCUGCUUUCUCUGUAACUAACCACAUAUACUUCUUCCUGUGUUGUAGCUGUAACUGAGCAGCGUUAGAUUUCAGAAUGUUGCUUUAUAAGGUGUUUACUAUGUCCUACACUGAGACGCUGCAAAGAUUUGAGUUUGUUCCCACUUCCCUUGAGUUAUUGUCAUUGUUUGCAGUUACACAUACGUGUUUGUCUUUUCCACUUGACGUGUCGUUCUGAGCUUACGGUUCUUAUUUCCUCGGCGGUGUUUAUCCUGCAGCUUAGCUUGUUCACAUCGCUUUAACUUCCGGAUUACAGCUUAUCCAGCGAGUUCCUUUUGUUCUUGGCUUACUUUGCCUCUCUGGUUCAUAGACUUUUGUGUAUAUAUUUAAUCUUAACAAUGCUGUUGUAGAACUGAAUUCUUUAAUAAGAGUUUCUUGGAUUUUGCCAGAUAGAGUUGUUAAAAUUUGAAAAGUACUUUUCUUAGUAUUCUAGGAUUUGCUCAAUACAUUUUUACAUUGAGAAUUCACAUUGUGCCAUUAUCAUCAAUAUUAUUAGUUUAAAAAACAAACAUCAGGGAGAAAAUCUUGUCUUUAGCAGAGUGGUUUGAAUAUGGAAUUGGGAUGCCAGUUUUCCUUGUAAUUCACUGAAGUUCUCUCUACUGCAAUUCCUGCUAUGUCUACAGAUUUUUUUCAUAACUUAUUUGAAAAGUCUUUUAAGAAAUGAUCAGAGGUCAUACAGUAGGUGACAAACAAGAAGCCUUUAAAUGUUAGGUGAUUUUGUGGACUUUGUGCCCUCGUGUUAUUUGGCGAGGAGAAUCUCCUUGUAGCUACCUAGUUCUGUACUGUGCACAUUGUGUAUAUGGUAGCUCAGAAAAGGAAGACAGUAGAAAGAAAGAUUAAAUCAUGGGCUAUCAAAGUGUGAGAGCUGUGCUGUACUGUUUCCUCAGGCUCAAGAGCAGUGGGAUGGACUAAGCAUCCUAGAGAACAGAGCCUCGGCAGUGUGGAAAAUGGUUUAGAUACACCGACUGCAUUAGUUGUAGCUUCAGGUUGCUUAUAACUGCAAUCUUUCACAGACAUUCAAGUGCACAUGCCUACAAACAGACACAUAAUGAGAAACAAAACAAAACCUAAAAUCAAACAACCAAACAAACCUGUUCCUACUCUAAGAGGCUGCUACGUAAGUCAGUCACCGCAGUUUACGGUGGGUGCUCAUUGUGGGAAGUAGGUUGGGAGGUGGUUUUGUUGAGAGUAGGUACAGAAAACUAGACCACACAAGGCUUUAUGGCAUAUGAGGUCAUGUGUGCAUAAGUUCCUGACCAGAGCAUCGUGUGGCAUGUCACUCUAAUGCACACUUACAUAGUUUCCUAGGGUGCUACAGAAGAAAGGGGUGGGAUUAGGACCUAACAUGAUUCAUCUCUCACUGACUGAUUUUCAGAGCAUAUGAAAGAGAGCAGACAUUUAGAGCUGAAAGUCAUUUUAGAGAGCUGUGAUUCCCUUCAUUUUAUACAAAACAUAAACAGUUACUGUGCUUCUUCCCUCCAUUAUAGUGAUGCUUUUGACAUACAAUUUGGAGUUGUGGUUAUCCGCCUGAAGGAAGGACUGGAUAUAUCACACCUCCAAGGUCAGGGUAAGUACUCCUUACAUUAAGAUUUAUUUUUCAUUUUUAUUGGUUAUUUUAUUUACUUACAUUUCAAAUGUUAUUCCCCUUCCCAGUUUCCCCUCCACAAAGUACCUCUCUUCUCCCCCUUCCCUCCCUCUAUGAGUGUCUCCCCUACCUGCCCAGGCACUCCUGCCUCAGCGCCCUAGAUGCCCCUACACUGGAGCAUCUAUCGAGCCCUCAUAGGACCAAGGGCCUCUCUUCCCAUAGAUGCCUGACAAGGCCAUCUAUCCUCUGCUACAUGUGCAGCUAGAGCCAUGGCUCCUCCCAUGUGUACUCUUGGUUGGUGGUUUAGUCCCUGGGAGCUUUGGAGGCAUCUGGUUGGUUCUUCUUGUUCUUCCUAUGGAGUUGCAAACCCCUUCAGCUCCUUCAGUCCUUGCUCUAACUUCUCCAUUGGGGUCUCCACGCUCAGUCCUAUGUUUGGCUGCAGACAUCUGCAUCUGUUUUGAUCAAGCUCUUGCAGAGCCAAAGUACGAGUUACUUGGUUAGAAAGUUGUGCCUAAUUGUAAGUUCUUCAUUCACUUACAUAGAUGCCAUUUUCUUCAUGACACAGCUCACCAUCUUAAGAUUAGGUGUGCUUUCGCCAACCAUGUCUGUGUCUUCUCUCUGUACAGCUCAUAUGAUAGCUUUAUUUUCCAUUAAUUAUUACUAAUGGAGAGUAUAAAAUUUAGUAUAAAUCGUGGCCUUAAGAGAAACAGACAUUAGUUAUGAUUGUAAAUUGGCCAAACUUGUUUUUAAAAAAUAGAAUGAGAAAAAUAUUUAAAUCAUUAUUAAAAUAUUUAAAUUACUACUUAGGCUGUAAAAGUAUUAAAAACACAAUGUAUAAUCUUUAAAGUAUUUUAAAAUAAAGGUUAAAUUUAAGAUAUAAUUUACUUGCCAACUUUAUGAAAGUGGAAAUUUCUAUAUCCUUCAAAGAAUUUUACGUAUUUAAAAAAAUUGAAUACCUAUCAUUUUCUCUUAUGAGUUAAUUAGUGAAAUCAUCAGAUUAGCUGCGUUUUGAUAGAUAAGAAACAUAGUAAUUUGUUCAUGCAUUUCAACCUUAUACUCUUCUUUAAGAGUAGUCUACAACUUUGAAGAAACGCUUUGAGGUCUAUGAAACAAGCAAGCUUGGCUUGCUGUAAAUGUGUUUUCUUUUUCUGGAAUGAAUCUGGCAAAACCUCAUUUGAAGUCUUAUAGCAGUGACUAAGUUUAGAGAACGUGACUCAUUAACACUGCGUAAUUAGAAAAAUGCUGUUCCCUUUCCCUCAAAAAGUAACGUAUUAUUCAGUUCUAUUAUUUACUGGGAAUUAAAUAUGACUGAAAUAUUUUAAAACUAUCAUCUAACAGGUAUGGCGGCAUUCGCCUUCAAUCCCAGGACUUGGGAGGCUGGCGGAUCUCUGUCCAGGACAGCCAGGGCUAUCACACAGAAAAACCCUGUC
This 4478-nucleotide long non-coding RNA is filed under the name Mus musculus (house mouse). Its description in RNAcentral is "long non-coding RNA chr18:57927204-57931682". The record is from RNAcentral. Lineage: Eukaryota; Metazoa; Chordata; Mammalia; Rodentia; Muridae.